Molecule: long non-coding RNA, 96 nt
Organism: Etheostoma cragini (Arkansas darter)
Lineage: Eukaryota; Metazoa; Chordata; Actinopteri; Perciformes; Percidae
Exons: 3
Source: RefSeq, a predicted model, not a curated record
AGCUCUCUUUUCCGCAGUUACAGUGGGGUCACACAUUCUGACGGCUGCUACUUGUCAGAUAUGGUGACCUCUGAGGUACUGGCUCUGUGAUGCCUC